CUACGGGGGGCUGCAGUCGAGAAUCAUUCGCAAUGCGCGAAAGCGUGACGAUGCGACGCUGCGUGGAGGAUGACGGCCUUAGGGUUGUAAACUCCUGUCAUAAGGGAAAAGACAGUGGUGGGUUAAUAACCCAUCGCCUCGAUGGUACCUUAAGAGGAAGCCACGGCUAACUCUGUGCCAGCAGCCGCGGUGAAUACAGAGGUGGCGAGCGUUGUUCGGAUUUACUGGGCGUAAAGGGUGCGUAGGCGGUUUGGUAAGUCGGAUGUGAAAGCCCAAGGCUCAACUUUGGAACUGCAUCCGAUACUGCUGAACUAGAGUGCAGGAGGGGAGAGCGGAAUUCUUGGUGUAGCGGUGAAAUGCGUUGAUAUCAAGAAGAACACCGGUGGCGAAGGCGGCUCUCUGGAAUGUUACUGACGCUGAGGCACGAAAGCUGGGGGAGCAAACAGGAUUAGAUACCCUCGUAGUC
RNAcentral lists this ribosomal RNA (466 nucleotides) under uncultured bacterium. RNAcentral describes it as "partial 16S ribosomal RNA". It matches the Rfam family "Bacterial small subunit ribosomal RNA", at positions 339 to 795 of the family's 1533-position model. The record is from RNAcentral.